AGAGUUUGAUCAUGGCUCAGAUUGAAUGCUGGCGGCAUGGCUAAAACAUGCAAGUCGAACGAACCCGCAAGGGUGAGUGGCGAAAGGGUUAGUAAUACGAUCGAAUGUACCCCGAGGUGGAGGAUAGCGGGAAGAAAUUCCCGGUAAUACUCCAUGAUGUCUUCGGACCAAAGUUUUGGCGCCUUGGGAGCAGCGAUCGUCCUAUCAGGUAGUUGGCGGGGUAAAAGCCCACCAAGCCUUAGACGGGUAGCGGGUGUGAGAGCACGGCCCGCAACAUCGGAACUGAGACACUGUCCGGACUCCUACGGGAGGCUGCAGUAACGAAUCUUCCGCAAUGGGCGCAAGCCUGACGGAGCAAUGCCGCGUGCGGGAUGAAGUAUCUCUGGUAUGUAAACCGCUGUCAGGGGGCAGAAACAAUGAUUGCCCCCAGAGGAAGUGGCGACUAACUCUGUGCCAGCAGUCGCGGUAAUACAGAGGCCACAAGCAUUAGUCGGAAUCACUGGGCUUAAAGGGUGCGUAGGUUGUCCAUCAAGUGCUUUGUGAAAUCCCACGGCUCAACCGUGGAACAGCAGGGCAUACUGAUGGACUUGAGGCAAGUAGGGGCUGACGGAACAGUAGGUGGAGCGGUGAAAUGCGUAGAUAUCUACUGGAACGCCGAUGGUGAAGACGCAGCUGGGCUUGUCCUGACACUGAGGCACGAAAGCGUGGGGAGCAAACAGGAUUAGAUACCCUCGUAGUCC
RNAcentral lists this ribosomal RNA (740 nucleotides) under uncultured bacterium. RNAcentral's name for it is "bacterial SSU rRNA". It matches the Rfam family "Bacterial small subunit ribosomal RNA", at positions 8 to 796 of the family's 1533-position model. The record is from RNAcentral.